UAGGGAAUCUUCGGCAAUGGACGAAAGUCUGACCGAGCAACGCCGCGUGAGUGAAGAAGGUUUUCGGAUCGUAAAACUCUGUUGUUAGAGAAGAACAAGGACGUUAGUAACUGAACGUCCCCUGACGGUAUCUAACCAGAAAGCCACGGCUAACUACGUGCCAGCAGCCGCGGUAAUACGUAGGUGGCAAGCGUUGUCCGGAUUUAUUGGGCGUAAAGCGAGCGCAGGCGGUUUCUUAAGUCUGAUGUGAAAGCCCCCGGCUCAACCGGGGAGGGUCAUUGGAAACUGGGAGACUUGAGUGCAGAAGAGGAGAGUGGAAUUCCAUGUGUAGCGGUGAAAUGCGUAGAUAUAUGGAGGAACAACAGUGGCGAAGGCGGCUCUCUGGUCUGUACCUGACGCUGAGGCUAGAAAGCGUGGGGAGCAAACAGG
RNAcentral lists this ribosomal RNA (429 nucleotides) under Gemmatimonadota bacterium. RNAcentral describes it as "Gemmatimonadetes bacterium partial 16S ribosomal RNA". It matches the Rfam family "Bacterial small subunit ribosomal RNA", at positions 355 to 776 of the family's 1533-position model. The record is from RNAcentral. Lineage: Bacteria; Pseudomonadati; Gemmatimonadota.